GACGAACGCUGGCGGCGUGCUUAACACAUGCAAGUCGAACGGAAAGGCCCCCUUGUGGGGUACUCGAGUGGCGAACGGGUGAGUAACACGUGAGUAACCUACCCUUGACUUUGGGAUAACUUCAGGAAACUGGGGCUAAUACCGGAUAGGAGCUCCUGCUGCAUGGUGGGGGUUGGAAGGUUUCGGCGGUUGGGGAUGGACUCGCGGCUUAUCAGCUUGUUGGUGGGGUAGUGGCUCACCAAGGCUUUGACGGGUAGCCGGCCUGAGAGGGUGACCGGCCACAUUGGGACUGAGAUACGGCCCGGACUCCUACGGGAGGCAGCAGUGGGGAAUAUUGCACAAUGGGCGGAAGCCUGAUGCAGCAACGCCGCGUGCGGGAUGACGGCCUUCGGGUUGUAAACCGCUUUCGCCUGUGACGAAGCGUGAGUGACGGUAAUGGGUAAAGAAGCACCGGCUAACUACGUG
RNAcentral lists this ribosomal RNA (465 nucleotides) under uncultured bacterium. Its description in RNAcentral is "partial 16S ribosomal RNA". It matches the Rfam family "Bacterial small subunit ribosomal RNA", at positions 28 to 507 of the family's 1533-position model. The record is from RNAcentral.